UGCUACACACAUUUUACUUCUGGCUUGAGGU
This 31-nucleotide non-coding RNA is filed under the name Rattus norvegicus (Norway rat). Lineage: Eukaryota; Metazoa; Chordata; Mammalia; Rodentia; Muridae. The record is from RNAcentral.